CCUACGGGAGGCAGCAGUGAGGAAUAUUGGUCAAUGGCCGAGAGUCUGAACCAGCCAAGUCGCGUGAAGGAUGACUGCCCUACGGGUUGUAAACCUCUUUUAUAUGGGAAUAAAAUGUUCCACGCGUGCGACCUUGUAUGUACCAUAUGAAUAAGGAUCGGCUAACUCCGUGCCAGCAGCCGCGGUAAUACGGAGGAUCCGAGCGUUAUCCGGAUUUAUUGGGGUUAAAGGGAGCGCAGGGGGAUUGUUAAGUCAGGUGGUAAAGUUGUCGGCCUAACCGUAAAAUUGCAGUUGAAACUGGGAGUGGUGAGUAGAGGAGAGGUUGGCGGAAUGCGUGGUGUAGCGGUGAAAUGCAUAGAUAUCACGCAGAACUCCGAUUGCGAAGGCAGUUUACCGGACUGCAACUGACGCUGAGGCACGAAAGUGUGGGUAUCGAACAGGAUUAGAUACCCGGGUAGUC
This 460-nucleotide ribosomal RNA is filed under the name uncultured bacterium. Its description in RNAcentral is "partial 16S ribosomal RNA". It matches the Rfam family "Bacterial small subunit ribosomal RNA", at positions 338 to 795 of the family's 1533-position model. The record is from RNAcentral.